CCUACGGGGGGCAGCAGUGGGGAAUAUUGGGCAAUGGAGGAAACUCUGACCCAGCAACGCCGCGUGAAUGAUGAAGGUCUUCGGAUUGUAAAGUUCUUUUCUAAGGGAAGAAGAAAGUGACGGUACCUUAGGAAUAAGCCUCGGCUAACUACGUGCCAGCAGCCGCGGUAAUACGUAGGAGGCAAGCGUUAUCCGGAAUGACUGGGCGUAAAGGGUGCGUAGGUGGUUCAGCAAGUUAGUAGCGUAAUUCCGGGGCUCAACUUCGGCACUACUACUAAAACUGUUGGACUUGAGUGCAGGAGGGGCAACUGGAAUUUGUGGUGUAGCGGUGGAAUGCGUAGAUAUUAGGAAGAACACCGGUGGCGAAGGCGAGUUGCUGGACUGUAACUGACACUGAGGCACGAAAGCGUGGGGAGCAAACAGGAUUAGAUACCCCAGUAGUC
RNAcentral lists this ribosomal RNA (443 nucleotides) under uncultured bacterium. Its description in RNAcentral is "partial 16S ribosomal RNA". It matches the Rfam family "Bacterial small subunit ribosomal RNA", at positions 338 to 795 of the family's 1533-position model. The record is from RNAcentral.